This 77-nucleotide transfer RNA is filed under the name Granulicella mallensis MP5ACTX8. Its description in RNAcentral is "tRNA-Val (TAC) (tRNA-Val-TAC-1-1)". It matches the Rfam family "tRNA". Rfam says of the family: Transfer RNA (tRNA) molecules are approximately 80 nucleotides in length. Their secondary structure includes four short double-helical elements and three loops (D, anti-codon, and T loops). The record is from RNAcentral. RNAcentral also lists the same sequence under 2 other names. Lineage: Bacteria; Pseudomonadati; Acidobacteriota; Terriglobia; Terriglobales; Acidobacteriaceae.
GGGCGGUUAGCUCAGCUGGUUAGAGCGCCUGCCUUACAAGCAGGAUGUCGGGGGUUCGAAUCCCUCACUGCCCACCA